GAUGAAGAACGCAGCGAAAUGCGAUAAGUAAUGUGAAUUGCAGAAUUCAGUGAAUCAUCGAAUCUUUGAACGCACAUUGCGCCCGCCAGUAUUCUGGCGGGCAUGCCUGUUCGAGCGUCAUUUCAACCAUCAAGCCCCCGGGCUUGUGUUGGGGACCUGCGGCUGCCGCAGGCCCUGAAAAGCAGUGGCGGGCUCGCUGUCACACCGAGCGUAGUAGAUUUUAUCUCGCUCUGGGCGUGCUGCGGGUUCCGGCCGUUAAACCACCCUUUUAACCCAAGGUUGACCUCGGAUCAGGUAGGACUACCCGCUGAACUUAAGCAUAUCAAUAAGCGGAGGA
Molecule: unclassified non-coding RNA, 337 nt
Filed under: soil metagenome
Description: partial contains 5.8S ribosomal RNA, internal transcribed spacer 2, and large subunit ribosomal RNA
Rfam family: 5.8S ribosomal RNA (bases 1-120)
Source: RNAcentral